Molecule: long non-coding RNA, 2110 nt
Organism: Clupea harengus (Atlantic herring)
Lineage: Eukaryota; Metazoa; Chordata; Actinopteri; Clupeiformes; Clupeidae
Source: Ensembl
GCAGCAGGUGUAAUACACUCUGAGAGUGCAGUGCUGCAGGUGUACACACUCUGAGAGUGCAGUGCUGCAGGUGUAAUACACUCUGGUGUCCAGUUCGGGUCGGUGCUUCUCAUAGCACAGGUUAUUCCAGAACAGGGCCAGAAAGAACUACAGCCAAUGAGCAAGUUCGGAAGAGAUCGACUCACAGACUGAGGGGAAGCUGCCACUCUCGCCGCUCACAAGGACCGUUGCUAGGGCCAGCUGUCACCGCGGCACCACGACCUGUGACCUCUGGCUCGUGGAAACGCUUCAAGUCUUGGCAACGGCACACCACGACAACAGGGAUUAUGGGCAACCUUAUAUGUGGUGCUGGACGAAAAAAGACAUCAGAAGCCAAGAAUGAAUCUGAUGACAACACAAAUGCAGACAACACGGGCAAGGACACGCCAGGGACACAGCCAAAGGAGGAAGUCCUCUAUGCAACAAUUGACCAUGGCAAUGGCAAGAAAGCAGGAAAUGUGAUGAGGAUCGUGGAGGGAGAUGACUGUGACUAUGCUGUCGUCAACAUCCCCUCCGAGGACAAGCUGUCAAUCAAAGAGGACUGCUCUGACGACUAUGUGCUAAUGGGUUGAGCUUACGGAGGCCCGAUAGGGACACGAAGCUUCAUAGGUGAAGGGCUUAACCAGGUUGCACACUUCACUACUGACAAACAUCGAGAUAUGUGGCGGGUGUAUGUUGGUAUAUUAGACCAAUAGAAUUGCUUAUUGUAUAAGGAAAGGUUUGGUUUUGGUCGGUACUUUCUCUCUCCAUCACACACACACACAUAAACACACACACACAGAGCUUUACUGAGGUGUAUGCAUGUGGACUAUGGAAUAUACACAAGAAAACAAACAUUUAGGGUAAGCACACAGCGAUGCAGAUAUCUACACAUCUACACAUGCAUAUUUACUGCAAGACUAUUUUGUGUAUAAAGAAGCAUCAGAGCAUUUGUCGCACCUUUUUUUCAUUUUUAAACUGAGAUAUGAAUGUAUGUAUGAACAUUUUGCAUUUUUUCUGUUUAAUUUAUUUACAUCCAAAUGUUCACCUUUUUAAUGUUUUGAUAUGUGCAUUUUGUCUGUCAUUAUAUUGAAGUUUGUUUAUGUGUGUUUGUUUUGUUUGUUUUGGAUACAGAAAUAUAAUACCAGUAUGUGUGUCCACACAAAAUCUAAUGAAUGACUUGAUGUGAACAGAGUUUAAUGGAGUUAUUUGAAUCAAUAAACAGCAAAUAUAUCUCUUAGCUCUCUUUUGCCACUUGAAGCACACUUCUAAAGAUAGUAAAACAGCUCUCUUUAUAUUGCAAGCUCAUUGAUCAUUGAGAGGGAUGUGUGGAUUUCUUUCUGUAGGAGCCCUUUGAUGAGGGUGUCUUGUUUCUUGCCCGCAGUAAAGUCCCUAGCUAACAUUCUGCUCAACACAAAUCUGGCACCCUCCUCUGCUAUGAAAAUCCAAUAAUUUGUUUUAUUGCGUUUCGUUUAUUUUAAGGCACACGUAUGUGCUGACAGCAGUUACAAUUACCACACUUAGUACAAUGAUAGAUGACAGAGUGAUGAACAAUGUGAAUGAACCUGCCAAAAGAAAAAAAGACAGAGCCUACAUAAAUCCCACAUAUUACAGCCCACACAAAAAAAACUCUUGUCGUAGUGUCACAUAAUCUUUAGCUAAUUAGUAUUAUUUUGAGAUUACCAAAUUAUAUUUUCCCUCGGUCAUUUCCACUAAAUUAUUCAUUGACAUAUAUUUUUCAUAUUUAUUUGCAACAUCAAUCAUAUCAUUGUUCACAAACACAGAUGAUGGCUUCCUUAAAACAAUCUAAUCAUUGGAAGAGUUCUCACCAUCAGUCAUCUCCAUGACAACAGAAUGCUUAUGGGUCCAGGAGGCGUGACUGGCCACACAGGUCAGGUUGCCCUGGGUGAUGUCAUCAGGCAGGAGCAGCCAGCUCUCCAUGGUGACGGUUCCAUCUGUGUUGUUGGUUGACCUCUCAGUGACCUUAGGGGACCACCACUCCUCCUCCCAGGACACUGUGGCCUCUGGUUUUCCACGGGCAGCAGAACAGACAGCAAACCGCUGACCGCCGUCAUGCUCUAGUCUGGUGGAG